UUAUUUUAUGAGUUGCAUCGGUAUGAAUUAGAGACAGAAAAUAAAGGUGUAAAGGUUUGUAAAUUUUUAAAAAGUAAAUUUAGGACUUGCCUUGAUUGAGCAUUGCUCUCUAGGCUGAGUAGAGUGAGUUUGCCGGAGUAAAGGUCCCUGGUCGAGCAUUGCUCUUUGGGCAUUGGUUUAUUUAGAAACCUAAGUGACCAGACUAGAGUUAAGGACCUUGGUCGAGCUUCGCUCUCUGGGCGCCAGUCUUAUUGGAGUAAGAGAGCCGAAAGGCUAAGACUGAUAGUGAUAGUUAAGUGACCGGACUGGAGUUAAGGACUCUGGUCGAGCUUCACUCUCUAGGCGCUAGUUCUGUUGGAAUGAGAGAGUCAAGAUGUUAGUGUUGGGAUUAGGGUUCUAUUGAAGUACUCCGUCCCGUAGUAUGUGAAAGUUAUAUUUUUAUUUAAGCAUGGCAUGACACGUAUAUUUUUGCAUGACUUAAUGUUUAUUUCAAAUUGAAUAAAUGUAUUAUUGAAAUGUUUGAAAUUAUUUUUGGAUAUAUGAUUUUAACUCACUCUCGAGACUGACAGUCUCAUUUUUACUGUUUUUUAGGUGAUUGUUAGUCUUCCCGCAGUCCUCAUAUAGCAACCCGACUCCUACAGCAUCGGGUUGAUGUAAUUGAUUUUGAUAUAUUUGACUUGUAGAAUUUUAGAUUUUCCGCAGUAGAAAUAUUAGACUUAUUAGUUGUAAUUUUAUGUAAAUACAGGUCUUGCCUAAUUAUGCUGGCAGAUCGAAUUAAAUAUGUAGAAUUUGAUGGUUAAGGUUAAUUGUGAAUCAGUGCUUUGGACUGAGUCCGAAUUUCAAUUUAUUUGAGUUAGUGAAUGGUCAGGCUUACCACGGGGUUCAGUAGCCUUACGCCUACCCAUUCUCUAAUGCCGAUCACGGGCCCACAGGUCGGGCCGUGAUAUUACCAACCUAAUUAAUUUCUUUAAGCUCACUUGUGAAACUUCAUUUUAAAUCUUUUCCAACAGAAUCUCCAUUACCAAUUUCGUAAGAACCCGACUUCAUUAACCUUGACUUUCGAAUCAGUUGUGGAUGUGGUGGUGGUGGAAAAGGAUGAGGAGGAAGGGGAGGCAGAGACCUGUGAAAGCUUUUCCUCCUGACAAAGUCCUCUGCACUUUUAGCUUAUGUCUCUAUAGAGAAAGAAGGAGGAACAAUAACUUCUUCGGCGAAGAUAUUAAAAGUGAAAGGGAUAGUUUCAGAGAGGCAAUAACUUCCUCGAUUAUGCAUGAGGGCAAUCAAUCGCAUCGCUUAUUUUCUUGAGGCUUCUUUCUCUAUUGCACUCAAAUAUACUCAGUCCACCGUUCCUCACCCUCCUUCUCUCCCUUUCCCUUCCACUGCUACAUUCAAAUUGGAUAUGCUUUUUAAAUAAUAAAAGAGGGGGUGGUGGUCAAUGAAAUUUUGAUUAUCGAUAAAGGAAAAAGGGUUGGAUCUGAUAUAAUAUUUCCUUCAUGGAAUCACAUCAUGGUGUUGUUGCUUUGAGGUGCAUUAUUGACUAAGACUAAUACGUAAUGGUAGUAUUUUUUUUUAGAGAAUAAGAAAUGGAUAGUGUUUAUUUUGCUUUUUUUUUUUUUUCUGUAGAGAAGGAGAAAAGGAUUAAAAGUCUAAAAAAAAUAAAAAAUGCCACAUAAUUCCUCAAAUAUCGGCUGUCUCCAUCUUAAAGAGGCACCAUUAGGUGACAAAUGUCAACAAAACCUUGAAUUUUUCAGUUAUCUGCAUCUAAAAAU
RNAcentral lists this long non-coding RNA (1766 nucleotides) under Ricinus communis (castor bean). RNAcentral's name for it is "long non-coding RNA (RCOM_LNC002928)". The record is from RNAcentral. Lineage: Eukaryota; Viridiplantae; Streptophyta; Magnoliopsida; Malpighiales; Euphorbiaceae.